Apis florea (little honeybee) is the source of this 384-nucleotide long non-coding RNA. Lineage: Eukaryota; Metazoa; Arthropoda; Insecta; Hymenoptera; Apidae. The record is from RefSeq and is a predicted model, not a curated record.
GGUGAGACGAAUUCGUAUUUGACUCGUGGCGAAAGAAAAGCUUCGGCAAUUUGGCGUGCGCAAGCGCACGCGACUGCUACCGAUUAUAUCCGAAACCGUGUCGCCUUUUUGUUGGUUGAUGACCAUUUGCGUCGGUGGCGAAACCGGAAUAAAAGCGAUUCCAUCUGAGUUCUCCUUACAGAGAUCGACAGUCGUUAGUCAAAUGAAAAUCGAUCGAUCUCGAAUGUUUCUUUAUGUCUUCAUUAAUCAUAUAGACCAAUGAGAAAGAUACUUCAAUUGAAACCAGAGGGGUCGAGUGUAAGGAGUUCCCGAAGGAAUUGGCCGCGACGAAAGUCGACGACUCGUGGGAAAGUUAAGGGGCGCCAACCGUUUUUGAAGCGGAGA